RNAcentral lists this ribosomal RNA (254 nucleotides) under uncultured bacterium. RNAcentral describes it as "partial 16S ribosomal RNA". It matches the Rfam family "Bacterial small subunit ribosomal RNA", at positions 524 to 776 of the family's 1533-position model. The record is from RNAcentral.
UACGGGGGGAGCAAGCGUUGUUCGGAUUUACUGGGCGUAAAGGGCGCGUAGGCGGUCGUGACAAGUCACUUGUGAAAUCUCCGGGCUUAACUCGGAACGGUCAAGUGAUACUGUCGGACUAGAGUACAGAAGGGGCAACUGGAAUUCUCGGUGUAGCGGUGAAAUGCGUAGAUAUCGAGAGGAACACCUGCGGCGAAGGCGGGUUGCUGGGCUGAUACUGACGCUGAGGCGCGAAAGCCGGGGGAGCGAACGGG